UAAAAAGGAGAGCAAUGCUAUGGGGGUUAUCUCACAACCCCAGAUGCUGGAUAAGUUGAAGAAGGCAGAAUCGCUUUUGGAUGACAUUCAGGUCUGAAUGAUGAUUUAGAGAAGAAAGGACUAUUUAUUUCCUAAGGUAAACAGUCCAUUUCAUCUGUC
This 159-nucleotide long non-coding RNA is filed under the name Salvator merianae (Argentine black and white tegu). RNAcentral's name for it is "Rhabdomyosarcoma 2 associated transcript conserved region 8 (ENSSMRG00000011434.1)". The stretch from base 1 to 136 matches the Rfam family "Rhabdomyosarcoma 2 associated transcript conserved region 8". The record is from RNAcentral. Lineage: Eukaryota; Metazoa; Chordata; Lepidosauria; Squamata; Teiidae.